CUUGCUUUCUUUGCUGGCGACCGGCGCACGGGUGAGUAACACGUAUCCAACCUGCCCUUUACUCGGGGAUAGCCUUUCGAAAGAAAGAUUAAUACCCGAUAGUAUAAUGAUUCCGCAUGGUUUCAUUAUUAAAGGAUUCCGGUAAAGGAUGGGGAUGCGUUCCAUUAGGUUGUUGGUGAGGUAACGGCUCACCAAGCCUUCGAUGGAUAGGGGUUCUGAGAGGAAGGUCCCCCACAUUGGAACUGGGACACGGUCCAA
Molecule: ribosomal RNA, 258 nt
Filed under: uncultured bacterium
Lineage: Bacteria
Description: partial 16S ribosomal RNA
Rfam family: Bacterial small subunit ribosomal RNA
Source: RNAcentral